GUGAAAGUCCUGUCCCACAAAAAAGAAGGAAACAAGGCAGAGAGGUGGAGGACAAUGAAUGGUCUGAACUUCACUCCCCCCCAAAAAGAGCUGACACCGGCAGUGAGGAGGGGACCUCAGAUAAAGAUGAUCAGAGCUCAGACACGAGCCUCCCUGAGGAGAUCUCAGACAAGAAGAAAAGGGGGAAAAGAAGGCACUGAAAGAAAAGAAUGACCUCGAAAAGGCCCAGACAGAGGACACCAAGACAAGAUACCGCUUCUUUGGGUACUUGGCGGCCUACCUACUCUGCAUCUACGGGCACAGGACCGAGGUUCAUAGUCGAAUCAGAGUCCUCCAAAUCAAAUAGUUAAAUCCCUGACUGUUCCAGGUCACCCCUACAAGUAACGGCUUGAAAUUGUGUGUAAAUAUAUAUAUAUAUUUGUGUGUGUAUA
Notolabrus celidotus (New Zealand spotty) is the source of this 431-nucleotide long non-coding RNA. RefSeq lists it as uncharacterized. Lineage: Eukaryota; Metazoa; Chordata; Actinopteri; Labriformes; Labridae. The record is from RefSeq and is a predicted model, not a curated record. The transcript is spliced from 4 exons.